This is a non-coding RNA of Picea glauca (white spruce), 119 nucleotides long. The record is from Rfam. NCBI's taxonomy places the organism in Eukaryota, Viridiplantae, Streptophyta, Pinopsida, Pinales, Pinaceae.
GGGUGCGAUCAUACCAGCAUUAAUGCACUAGAUCCCAUCAGAACUCCGCAGUUAAGUGUUCUUGGGCUAGAGUAGUACUAGGAUGGGUGACCUCCCUGGAAGUACUAUUGUUGAACCCU